RNAcentral lists this ribosomal RNA (428 nucleotides) under uncultured bacterium. RNAcentral's name for it is "bacterial SSU rRNA". It matches the Rfam family "Bacterial small subunit ribosomal RNA", at positions 355 to 775 of the family's 1533-position model. The record is from RNAcentral.
UGGGGAAUAUUGGACAAUGGGCGAAAGCCUGAUCCAGCCAUGCCGCGUGUGUGAAGAAGGUCUUCGGAUUGUAAAGCACUUUAAGUUGGGAGGAAGGGCUGUCGGCUAAUACCCUGCAGUUUUGACGUUACCAACAGAAUAAGCACCGGCUAACUUCGUGCCAGCAGCCGCGGUAAUACGAAGGGUGCAAGCGUUAAUCGGAAUUACUGGGCGUAAAGCGCGCGUAGGUGGUUCAGCAAGUUGGAUGUGAAAGCCCCGGGCUCAACCUGGGAACUGCAUCCAAAACUACUGAGCUAGAGUACGGUAGAGGGUGGUGGAAUUUCCUGUGUAGCGGUGAAAUGCGUAGAUAUAGGAAGGAACACCAGUGGCGAAGGCGACCACCUGGACUGAUACUGACACUGAGGUGCGAAAGCGUGGGGAGCAAACAG